RNAcentral lists this ribosomal RNA (253 nucleotides) under uncultured bacterium. RNAcentral's name for it is "partial 16S ribosomal RNA". It matches the Rfam family "Bacterial small subunit ribosomal RNA", at positions 524 to 776 of the family's 1533-position model. The record is from RNAcentral.
UACGUAGGGUGCGAGCGUUGUCCGGAAUUAUUGGGCGUAAAGGGCUCGUAGGCGGUCUGUUGCGUCAGGAGUGAAAACUCGGGGCUUAACCCCGAGCCUGCUUCUGAUACGGGCAGACUAGAGGUAUGCAGGGGAGAACGGAAUUCCUGGUGUAGCGGUGAAAUGCGCAGAUAUCAGGAGGAACACCGGUGGCGAAGGCGGCAUCCUGGACCGACAUUGACGCUGAGGAGCGAAAGCCAGGGGAGCAAACGGG